Molecule: ribosomal RNA, 1032 nt
Filed under: Triticum aestivum (bread wheat)
Lineage: Eukaryota; Viridiplantae; Streptophyta; Magnoliopsida; Poales; Poaceae
Description: partial small subunit ribosomal RNA
Source: RNAcentral
AUGCCCACGGUACUGAGAGCCCCGAGGGUGGUGGCCAUCCUGGCCGUGGUCCUGGCGACGGCGCUCGCCCCUGCCGUGAACGCCCAGCAGUGCGGCUUGCAAGCUGGUGGCGCGACGUGCGCAAACUGUCUCUGCUGCAGCAAAUUUGGGUACUGCGCGGCUGCGGCGCCCUACUGCGGCGCGGGCUGCCAGAGCCAGCGCAGCGGCUGCGGCGGUAGCCCCUCCCCCGGCGAUCACGGCGUGUCGUCCAUCCUAUCUAGGGACCUCUUCGAGUGGCUCCUCCUCCACCGCAACGACCACCAAGAGGCCUGCGGUUUCUACACCUUCCACACUGCCGCCGCGGCGUUCUUGUCAUUCGGCAUCACGGGGAGCACGGAGACGCGGAAGCCGGAGGUGGCGGCCUUCCUCGGGCAGACCUCCCACGAGACCACUGGCGGGUGCCCCGCGGCGCCCGACGGACCGUACGCCAGGGGCUACUGCUUCAAGCAAGAGCAGGGCUCGCCGGGAAGCUACUGCGACCCAAAGCCGGAGUGGCCGUGCGCGUCGGGCAAGAAGUACUACUACGGUCGCGGACCCAUCCAGCUCUCAUGGAACUACAACUAUAGCCCCGCAGGGCGUGCCAUCGGGGUGGACCUGUUCAACAACCCAGACCUGGUGGCCACGGACGCAACGGUGUCGUUUAAGACGGCGUUGUGGUUUUGGAUGACGGCCCAGGCGAACAAGCCGUCGUCCCAUGACAUGAUCACAGGCCAAUGGACCCCAUCGGGCACGAACAACGCCGCCAGCCAUGUGCCUGGGUACGGCGUCAUCACCAACAUCAUCAACGGCGGGCUCGAGUGCGGUAGGGGGCAGGAUGACCGUGUUGCUAACCGAAUCGGGUUCUACAAGCGCUACUGCGAUGUCCUCGGUGUUGGCUACGGUAACAACCUCGACUGCUACAACCAGAGGCCCUUCAACAGUGGGCUCACGGUGGGGCUUGCGUCACGGUGGUCCUCCAUGCAUGAAUGUAUGAACGUGAUCACCGAUCAAUAA